This 399-nucleotide ribosomal RNA is filed under the name uncultured bacterium. Its description in RNAcentral is "bacterial SSU rRNA". It matches the Rfam family "Bacterial small subunit ribosomal RNA", at positions 355 to 771 of the family's 1533-position model. The record is from RNAcentral.
UGGGGAAUAUUGGACAAUGGGCGAAAGCCUGAUCCAGCAAUGCCGCGUGAGUGAUGAAGGCCCUAGGGUUGUAAAGCUCUUUUACCCGGGAUGAUAAUGACCGUACCGGGAGAAUAAGCCCCGGCUAACUCCGUGCCAGCAGCCGCGGUAAUACGGAGGGGGCUAGCGUUGUUCGGAAUUACUGGGCGUAAAGCGCGCGUAGGCGGCUUUGCAAGUUAGAGGUGAAAGCCCGGAGCUUAACUCCGGAACUGCCUUUAAAACUGCAUCGCUAGAAUCAUGGAGAGGUUAGUGGAAUUCCGAGUGUAGAGGUGAAAUUCGUAGAUAUUCGGAAGAACACCAGUGGCGAAGGCGACUAACUGGACAUGUAUUGACGCUGAGGUGCGAAAGCGUGGGGAGCAA